AAAUAAUAAAUAAUUAUGUUUAAAAAAAUUUAUUAAAGGUUUAUUUUAUAUAUAAAUUUUAGUGUUAAGUUUUAAUUAUUUUAAUAAUAAAAUAAUGAAUUAUGUAGUAAAUAAAUUUAAAAAUUUAAGAAAUUAAGAUUUAGUAAUACAAAAAUAAAUAACAAAUUUUGUGCCAGCAGUUGCGGUUAUACAAAAAUUUAAUUAAAUUAUUUCAGUAUAUAAAAAAUAAAUUUUAUUAAAAUAAAUAUUAAAUUGUUAAGUGAAAUUUUAAUUUAAUUAAAUUUUAUUUUUAAUUUAUGUUUAAUAAAUUUUAUUAUAAACUAGGAUUAGAUACCCUAUUAUUAAAAAUUUAAUUAUAAAUACUAAAAUAGUAAAUAAUUUUUUAUUGAAACUUAAAUAAUAUGGCGGUAUUUUAGUUCAUUUAGAGGAAUCUGUUUAAUAAUUGAUAAUCCACGAAUAAAUUUACUUAAUUUAAAAUUUUAUAUAUCGUUGUUAAAAAAAUAUUUUUAAUAAAAAAUAAUAUUUGAAAAUUAAAAUUAAAAAUUAAUUCAGAUCAAGAUGUAGAUUAUAAUUAAGAAUAUAAUGGAUUACAAUAAAUUUAUUUAAAUGGAUAUAUUAUUGAAAAAUAAUAUUAAAGGUGGAUUUAAAUGUAAUUUUAUUUAAUUUAAUAAAAUGAUUAAAAAUUAAAAUAUGUACAUAUUGCCCGUCACUUUCAUUUAAAAAUUGGAAUAAGUCGUAACAAAGUAGAGGUACUGGAAAGUGUUUCUAGAAAGAU
This 775-nucleotide non-coding RNA is filed under the name Euploea core. Lineage: Eukaryota; Metazoa; Arthropoda; Insecta; Lepidoptera; Nymphalidae. The record is from RNAcentral.